GUGCAUUUCCCAAGCACAUAUGCUGAAAUUGUGAUGAUGCAGAGAAAACAAUCAUGGCCCUGGCACAAGAAUGAUAGGCAAGCUUGUGAAAAUACCCAUAUAUAU
Small nuclear RNA from Perognathus longimembris pacificus (Pacific pocket mouse), 105 nucleotides. The record is from RefSeq and is a predicted model, not a curated record. NCBI's taxonomy places the organism in Eukaryota, Metazoa, Chordata, Mammalia, Rodentia, Heteromyidae.